GAGGGUGUGGCUCAGUGGUAGAGCAUGUGCUUAGCAUGCAUGAGGUACUGGAUCCAAUCCCCAGUCCCUCC
This 71-nucleotide transfer RNA is filed under the name Camelus bactrianus (Bactrian camel). It matches the Rfam family "tRNA". From Rfam's summary of the family: Transfer RNA (tRNA) molecules are approximately 80 nucleotides in length. Their secondary structure includes four short double-helical elements and three loops (D, anti-codon, and T loops). Further hydrogen bonds mediate the characteristic L-shaped molecular structure. tRNAs have two regions of fundamental functional importance: the anti-codon, which is responsible for specific mRNA codon recognition, and the 3' end, to which the tRNAs corresponding amino acid is attached (by aminoacyl-tRNA synthetases). tRNAs cope with the degeneracy of the genetic code in two manners: having more than one tRNA (with a specific anti-codon) for a particular amino acid; and 'wobble' base-pairing, i.e. permitting non-standard base-pairing at the 3rd anti-codon position. Lineage: Eukaryota; Metazoa; Chordata; Mammalia; Artiodactyla; Camelidae. RNAcentral also lists the same sequence under 3 other names. The record is from Rfam by way of RNAcentral.